Molecule: ribosomal RNA, 482 nt
Filed under: uncultured bacterium
Lineage: Bacteria
Description: partial 16S ribosomal RNA
Rfam family: Bacterial small subunit ribosomal RNA
Source: RNAcentral
GACGAACGCUGGCGGCGUGCUUAACACAUGCAAGUCGAACGCUGAAGCUCAGCUUGCUGGGUGGAUGAGUGGCGAACGGGUGAGUAACACGUGAGUAACCUGCCCUCUUCUUUGGGAUAACGCCCGGAAACGGGUGCUAAUACUGGAUAUUCACUGAUUCUCGCAUGGGGGUUGGUGGAAAGGUUUUUUCUGGUGGGGGAUGGGCUCGCGGCCUAUCAGCUUGUUGGUGGGGUGAUGGCUUACCAAGGCUUUGACGGGUAGCCGGCCUGAGAGGGUGACCGGUCACAUUGGGACUGAGAUACGGCCCAGACUCCUACGGGAGGCAGCAGUGGGGAAUAUUGCACAAUGGGCGAAAGCCUGAUGCAGCGACGCCGCGUGAGGGAUGGAGGCCUUCGGGUUGUAAACCUCUUUCGCUCAUGGUCAAGCCGCAGCUUUGGGUUGUGGUGAGGGUAGUGGGUAAAGAAGCGCCGGCCAACUACGUG